AACACAUGCAAGUCGAACGAGAAAGUGGAGCAAUCCAUGAGUAAAGUGGCGACCGGGUGAGUAACACGUGACUAACCUACCUUCGAGUGGGGGAUAACCUCGGGAAACCGAGGCUAAUACCGCAUAACAUCGCAAGAUCAAAGCAGCAAUGCGCUGGAAGAGGGGGUCGCGGCUGAUUAGCUAGUUGGCGGGGUAAUGGCCCACCAAGGCUAAGAUCGGUAUCCGGCCUGAGAGGGCGCACGGACACACUGGAACUGAAACACGGUCCAGACUCCUACGGGAGGCAGCAGUGGGGAAUUUUGCGCAAUGGGGGAAACCCUGACGCAGCAACGCCGCGUGGAGGAUGAAGCCCCUUGGGGCGUAAACUCCUUUCGACCAAGACGAUAAUGACGGUACUGGUGGAAGAGGCA
Molecule: ribosomal RNA, 410 nt
Filed under: grassland soil clone saf1_112
Lineage: Bacteria
Description: bacterial SSU rRNA
Rfam family: Bacterial small subunit ribosomal RNA
Source: RNAcentral